AGUGAACGCUGGCGGUAGGCCUAACACAUGCAAGUCGAACGACAGCACAGUAAGCGCUUGCUCUUACGGGUGGCGAGUGGCGGACGGGUGAGGAAUACAUCAGCAUCUACUUUUUCGUGGAGGAUAACGUGGGGAAACUUACGCUAAUACCGCAUACUACCUACGGGUGAAAGCAAGGGAUCUUCGGACCUUGCCCGAUUGAAUUAGACGAUGUCGGAUUAGCUAGUUGGCGGGGUAAAGGCCCACCAAGGCGACGAUCCGUAGCCGAUCUGAGAGGAUGAUCAGCCACACUGGAACUGAGACACGGUCCAGACUCCUACGGGAGGCAGCAGUGGGGAAUAUUGGACAAUGGGCGCAAGCCUGAUCCAGCAACACCGCGUGGGUGAAGAAGGCCUUCGGGUUGUAAAGCCCUUUUGUUGGGAAAGAAAAGCAGCAGGUUAAUCCCCCGCUGUUCUGACGGUACCCAAAGAAUAAGCAACGGCUAACUUCGUG
This 492-nucleotide ribosomal RNA is filed under the name uncultured bacterium. Its description in RNAcentral is "partial 16S ribosomal RNA". It matches the Rfam family "Bacterial small subunit ribosomal RNA", at positions 29 to 507 of the family's 1533-position model. The record is from RNAcentral.